CUGUUCUUUCUCCCACACUUUUCUCUGCUCUAAAACAGAGCCUAUAUAUAGAGAAGGUUGGGGGGCCUACAUCUUGACAAUGGAGCCACCUUCCGACAUCCGCAGCCGUCCUUCUCUCUCUCUUCCAUUCUUUCUCUUCUCCGUAGUAACAGAGACUUUGUCUCGGACAAGCAUACCUCUGUGCAUCUAGAAGAAGGUAGUAAGAUUGGUAAGGGGUUGGUAAUGGGCUGGGCCUUUUGAUCCUAGGGUGGACCUUCCAAUUGUGGGCUGGAUCCAACAUCUCCCCUCCAGCCAAUUGGAGGGUAAUCUGAUCCAGCUUCCCCGUAAGAUCUGCAAGAAUGCAUCCGAGAUAACCUGCCCUCAUCAAUGAGCACCGCACUUCCAGACGAAGUGCCUGACACUUCUCAUUAGGUGCCUUGCUCCCCCACCAAAGGCUCCGCCAAGAUACAUCACUUUGCGAGUCAUCGUGGCUCUCUCUCUCCUCCCUUGUGUACACAUUUGAAGAGAUCACUGCCACUAAUCAAAUCGGAGCGAAAGAGACCGUUUCGGCGACGUCGCGCUGUCGAUUUAACAAUCUUCAGAAUCGACUUGUCUCCUCCCUCUGGAUUUCCCUGGACAAUCCGCACUGGUCGCACCGGUCUUGUCUGAUCUGACUUUCCGCACGUGUUCUCAAAGAGUCUCCUUGCGCUCCUUGUACCACUCUGGCUCUCCAGGUGUCCCUGCGCUAGGCUUUGCGUGCCUGUCUGCACCCUGUUAUUUCUUGUCCAUUCUUCCUUCUUAUAUUCACUGGACCAUGUGGACAGCGUUCUCUCCUGUGUGGGAUGGACAUUCCCCUCCAGUCGAUAUAGUCCACUUGUUUCCUUCCCCUUAGCAUCUCUUUGUUUCCUUGGGAAAUUAUCACGAUCCUCCCUUAGCUACAAGAUGCAACCCAUUGAAUCUAACGUCCGAUGGAAAUCAAAUUUUUCCGUAGUUUGGGAACAUGCCGUACCUCGUCACAGUCACAAACCUUCCCGUAUGCCAUGCGGAACUAGACUGUUCCCUUGCCAACAACUUGUUCGUCGUGUUGUCGCCAUCGCCCCAAGUCCCGCGCAUGUGGUAUGUAGAAACAUCUUCUUGUCUCUACAAAAAUCGUAGGCACUUCCUGAAUCCAAUACCCAGUCUGGAUCCAUAUGCCGAUGUUACUAGGACGCAUCAUAUCGAAUCUGUCAUCCCUGAUGACCGAUGCUAAUGGCUGUCUCUGAAGACUGCAAUAUGUGUUUUAAUUGGGAUUUGGGCAAUUCUAUUAAAUGCCUUCUUGGUCACAGAAAAAAAACACUUAAAACUGCGACCUCUGGAUUGUGACCUCGGCGUCCUCUCCCAUGAUUCCUCUGUUGACCUCGACCUCUUUCCCUGCUUCAGUCUGAGAUUAGGGCAUGCGACUCACUUCGGAUGUCAUGCCAUCUCUUUCUUCCGGGCUCUCGUUGAAUAGGGGCAUCCUUGACUGUACUCAGAGUCAACUUCCCAUCCUGCGCGGAUUGCUGAGGAAACCACCAAUGUCUCCCAACUCUCUGGUAAAGAAUCAGAAGCAAUAGAGCCUGCAUCUCAUCGUCAAAAAUGGAGGUCUAUACUGGCAAACUGGUUGACCAAUUAGGAACUCGCUAGAUUGUUCGCCACCUCCCUCUCGAAGUUUCAGAUUCACAGCCUCCUCACAAUAAGGCCUUGUUCGAGAGUCUUCGCCGGUACAAUUCUCCCCAAUUUGGUCAUAGAUCGUAAGGACUAGUCUCUUGGUUGCUACGUGGUGGAAACAGGUUCGUGGCCCAAUACACUGUUGAUUAGCCAAUCGUUUUUCGGUUCAUUUUAAUCAUUCCUCAUCCUUCUUUCCUGUAGUUUUCUCCUUAUUCUCCAAAAGAUCAUGCAAAUCUUUACAGAAUAGGAUGUCUCCCAUCCGCGAUUUUCAUAGGGCGUUAAUUUGUAGCCUGAAAGACAUAAUCAUAGCUCCCAAUUUUCCUCCACCAUCUGACUCUCACAAAUGAAAGCAAAAUAUCAUGAAAACUGACCCGCGGAUAGAUUCGGAAUGCCUAGAAAAAUCAAAAGGGCUUUUCCGUCAAAACUCAGAAUCUUUGGGACCCAAUUGAAUAAAUAAAAAAUUCAGGGGCUAAAUUGAAAUUUCCCAAACUUCAGGGGUCAAUCUGUAAUUAAACAGAAGUCCAGGGGAAGAAAGUGCAAUUUUAAUUUGACCGGUCAACGGUCAACGUUUGGACCCGGUCAACGGCUUGGGUGACCGGUUAACGGCUCGGGUUGACCCGGCAAGGCUUGACGGUCAACGGCUCAGUCAAAAGCGCGGAUCGGCUCACGGAUCGGCGCGGCUCUGGCGCGGCUCGCGUGUGCUGCACGCGCGGCUCGGUGGAGAGUGAGGGGGGCAGACUGGAGAGGAAGCGGGGGGAACGGGAGGGGGGGUUUGUGUUGGUUUGGGGGGGGGUGGUUGUUUUUUGUGUUGUUUUGUUAUUGUUGGUGUUUUUUUUGUCGUUUUUUGUUUGAGGAGGAUGAGAGUGGAAGCCACUCUUCCCCCUGGCGCGUGGGGCGAGGUGAAGGCGCGUGGGCGCGCGUGCGGUGCUCUGUGGACCCGUCUGUCGGCGCGUGCGGCGCGUGGAUCUGACGGCAGAACUUCAAACGGCGCGUGAGGGCUCGUUUGAACUCCGAUUUGGAUGCCAUUGUGCUGAGCUUUCGUCAUCGAAGAGACAAAGCUCGUGGUAUGCUCAAAUUGCCGAUUUUGAGCACUUCGGAAUUUGCUCAGAAUUCGAAAGUUUACUCCGGUGGCAAUCGGUGACUCUCCAGUGACUCGAACUUGGCUCUGAUACCAAAUUGUUGGCCAAAACGAGUUACCAGUCACUCUACCAACUUAAACCACACCACAAGACAAGAUUUACGUGGUUCGGCCAACAAUGCCUACGUCCACGGAGAGGAUCUGUUAAUUCACUAUCUCAGAAUGAAUUACAAUGAAUACAAAGGAGGAGAUCACACUCAACUCACUCAAUCAUCUACUCUCUCAAUCUCUCAUUCUUGCUCUCUUCUCUCACAGCCACUCUGUAUCUUUUACAGAAUUUAUCUACACUGCCUUGCCCCCUCUUGUUCUUCUCCCAACUUUUCUAUGCUCUAAAACAGAGCCUAUAUAUAGAGAAGGUUUGGCCUCCAUCUUUGACAAUGGAGCCACCUUCCGACAUCCGCAGCCUUCCUUCUCUCUCUCUUCCAUUCUUUCUCCUCUCCGCAGCUAACAGAGACUUUGUCUCUGACAAAGCAUACCUCUGUGCAUCUAGAAGAAGGUAGGUAAGAUUGGUAAUGGGUUGGUAAUGGGCUUGGGCCUUUUGAUCCUAUGGGUUGG
RNAcentral lists this long non-coding RNA (3358 nucleotides) under Actinidia chinensis (golden kiwifruit). RNAcentral's name for it is "long non-coding RNA (ACHI_LNC009109)". Lineage: Eukaryota; Viridiplantae; Streptophyta; Magnoliopsida; Ericales; Actinidiaceae. The record is from RNAcentral.